Molecule: RNA transcript, 6934 nt
Organism: Scatophagus argus
Lineage: Eukaryota; Metazoa; Chordata; Actinopteri; Scatophagidae
Gene name: protocadherin alpha-C2-like
Exons: 2
Source: RefSeq, a predicted model, not a curated record
ACCUCUGUUUGUACAGAUAUUCUCCAAGAGUUUCCAUACGACUCCUAUAAAUUCGCAAAUCAUUCCAUUUUUUAAUAUCUAUUGUGUGGUCCUUGCAACGUAUAAGAUAUCUACUUCGUAUCCAGGGAAACUAUACCACCCUUACUCUGAUAAUAGUCUACAUCGACACAUCAUCGAAACAUUUACACGGUUAUUCUGUUUUUUUGUUUGUUUGUUUGUUUUGUUCUUUCAAAAUACAGAUUAACAACUGCAUAUUUACAAUAUUCCCACACAUUUUGAGUCAGUACUUGUUGCACACAAUAUUUAGGCACUACGUAAAGGUCACAGGGCAGGUUUGUGUACCACAUGUCGCUAAAUCACUUUAAGAAACAAACAAAAACAUAUACCAAAAAUAAGAUUUACUUUCCAAUUUUUGCUAAUUAAUUUAAAGAGAUUCUAAAGCCAAUCGCAAAUUAAGUUAUUUAAAAUAUUCUAAUGGUUUCACACACAAAUCAGCGUUUAAUAGUCAAACACGAGGAGUGCGACAUCGUGUAUUUGCCCUAACAAAAUAGCAUUUGUGUGAUAAAAAUACCAUCCAAUAACAGUUUCCUAAAAUGCUUAUAAAAACAAUGCAACGAGAAAAUGGAAGAGGUUGUAGUUGUUGCCCAAGUCCCCUGCAAACAUCAAGAUUAGAAACCAGGAAACAACACAACUCGAGUUUUUGAUGACACUUUUUCUUUUAACGAGGAUUAAACGUCCACCCGCAGUUUCUCUUCCUCGAACUAAACGUGACGUCCCUGAUAUUUCAAGAGGUGCAAAGACUCAUAAAGGACAACUCGGGUCGCUGUUCACCACUAAAAUUUACUCACUGAUGAAGUCAUCGAUCUCCUGAUUGUUCAUUGGAGGCUGGAUAGGCAGACAUGUUAAAUCUCUGCUGAUACCAGAAUACAAGGUUUUCCUAGAGAAGCCUCGAUGCCUUUCGUCAUCGAAUAAGAGGACUGUUUGUUAUUUAUCCAUCACAGCAUCACAGUUCGAGACUUUCAAGGACUAAACGCAAUGUCUCGUCAUAUUCGUCAGUUUUCCAGGAGAGGGUACGUUUCCGUAUUUCUCUUUCUUUGUGCCAUCGUGAACACGGUAUCUACCGUCACACAUUAUUCUGUUCCUGAAGAAAUGGAGGAAGGGUCUGUUGUUGCUAAUUUAGCAACUGAUUUGGGAUUAGACGUGAAGACUCUGAGUAGAAGAAAAAUGCGUGUAGAUGUUGUUGGCAAUAAAAAAUAUCUUGACAUCAACAAAGAUACAGGAGAGCUGUUUAUUCUGGAGAGGAUUGACAGAGAGUUUCUAUGCCCACUGAAGACAUCAACAUCGUGUUUUCUUCGAUUAGACGCUACAAUUGAAAAUCCAAUACGAAUGUUUAAUAUCGAGGUGGAAAUCACGGAUAUUAACGACAACGCCCCUCAUUUUCGACGGGGAACGAUGCAUUUGGACAUCUCCGAAUCAAGUUCUGUUGGAGAGAGGUUCUCGUUGAAUAACGCUGCAGACCCGGAUGUUGGAACGAAUUCAGUGAAAGACUAUCAUCUGAGCUCAAGUGAGCAUUUCUCCAUCGAAAUUCAGAUCGGAAGAGACGGGACAAAGUUUGCCGAUUUGAUUCUGAGGAAAGCUUUAGAUAGAGAGCAGCAGGCUGUCCAUAAUCUGAUCCUGACUGCAGUGGACGGUGGGGUCCCCACGCGCACAGGGACGGCCAGCAUCGUCGUUCGCGUGCUUGAUGUGAACGACAACGCCCCUUCAUUUAACAAAGACACAUACGUCGUGGAUGUGAUGGAAAACUCCCCGAUUGGCAGUCUAGUGAUAAAACUGAAUGCCACUGAUUUAGAUGAAGGGUCAAAUUCUGAUAUUGUCUAUUCAUAUAGUUUGUAUACAUCAGAGAGAACGCAGCAGAUGUUUAACCUGAAUCCAGAAAAUGGUGAAAUCCGAGUGAAAGAGAUGAUAAAUUAUGAGGAUGUUAAGCUUUACGAAAUGGAAGUUAUUGCCAGCGAUAAGGGACCGAGCUCCUUAUCUGGACAGUGUAAACUGACUAUAAAGGUGACAGACAUGAAUGAUAAUCACCCAGAAAUAUCUAUCAAAUCAUUUCAGAGUCCAGUCAAUGAAAACAUAGAAUUAGACACAGUGAUAGCUGUGGUCAGUGUCAGUGACAAAGACUCAGGUGACAAUGGAGUGGUUGAUCUCCAUAUUCCAGUUAAUAUGCCUUUCAGACUGAGGGAAUCCUCUGAUAACUAUUAUGAAUUAGUGGUGUCAGAGCCGUUAGACCGUGAGAAGGUUCCAGAAUAUGACAUCACGUUCACUGUUACAGACAGAGGUUCUCCUCCUUUAUCUGACAAUGAAACUAUGACCUUAGAACUGCUGGAUAUCAAUGACAAUGUUCCACAGUUCCCUCAGUCCUUUUAUACUAUACGUGUGAUGGAGAAUAACGCACCCGGGGCCCUGCUCAGUUCUCUCACUGCGUUUGACCCUGACCUCCAUGAAAACCAGUAUCUGGUUUAUUUCAUCCUGGAGAAGGAGAUAGCCAACACCUCCAUGUCCAUGCUGUUCUCCAUCAAUCCAGAGAACGGCAAUCUUUACGCACUGAAAACCUUUGACUAUGAGAUCGAGAAAGAGUUUCUCUUCCACAUCGAGGCCAGAGACUCUGGCUCUCCUCCGCUCUGCAGUAACGUGGCCGUCCACAUCAUCAUUGUGGACCAGAAUGACAACGCUCCGGUUAUUGUGUCUCCGUGGCGAGCGCACGGCUCGGUGGUGGAGGAAAAGAUCCCCAGAUCCACCGAUAAAGGCUCUCUGGUUGCCAAGGUGAUAGCCUUGGACACCGACUCGGUGCACAACUCUCGGAUUACCUACCAGUUUCUACAGGUGACUGACGCCACCCUGUUCAGUCUGGACCAGUACAACGGAGAGAUCCGGACUAUGAGGAUGUUCAGUUACAGAGAUCCGCGCCAUCAGAGACUGGUUGUUGUGGCAAAGGACAACGGGGAGCCCGCCCUGUCAGCUACAGUCACCAUCAAGCUGUCCACGGUGGAGACUGCUGUCAAGGCCUACUCUGACAUGACUGAGGUGCCUCUAGAAUACGACAUCUUUUCAGACCUGAACCUGUAUUUGGUCAUCGGUCUGGGCUCUGUGUCAUUUCUCCUGCUCAUCACCAUAUUGGUGACCUGCGUGCUCAAGUGUCAGAAGCCCAAACCCAGCAAAGCGGCUGCUCCCUGCAGGAACAGUGUGAUCAGUGAGAGGAACUCCACCAUCGCAGAUUCCACUCUGGUGUCCAACGAUGCCUACUGGUACAGUCUGUUCCUAGCAGAGACCAGGAAAGGAAAGCUGGUGGUCAGACAGCCUGUGCCAAAGGGCUCCAGGUACAUCGUGUCCAGUAUACCAAGAGGCACAGGACUGACGGACACGAGUGACUCAGCAGCUUCCACUCUGCAGGUAUGAGGAAAAAGUAGCUCUUUCACGUGGUGCAAAUAUUUUUUUCAUGAAAAUUAAUCAAGUGCUCUUCUGCGUGAUUACAGUAGUCAUGACCUUCUUAUCAUGUUUGAGUUUUAGAAUUUGUAUUCUCCCAUUCACUUAUGUUAUUACGCAUACAUAGUUAAGAACUGCCUGAACAGGGAACCAUUCAUGAUAAGUAAAAAUAUAACUGUGCACAUUAACAGUGUUUAAAUAAUUCUUGUUAUUGUCAUUGGCAGCUGGUUUCCAGUAGUGAAAACAAUGAAGUAUUUACAUAAGUAUUGCACUUAAGUACAAUUUUGAGGUACUUUCACUUUACAUAAACAACUACUUUAUACUUCUACUAUAGUAUAUUUCAGAUGACAAUAUAUGAUCAGUUAUUUAAAUGUGUUGAAUUUUGGUGGGUUGAAGGCCCCACAUACACUCACAGGUGGGCUCAGUUAUGCUGCUGCUUAGACCUACUCAGACUGAAGCUCUGCUGUGAUUUACAUGAGGUCCUCAUGUACUUAUGGUAAAGUGUAAAACUGCCCUAAAACAAAACAAGUGAGACAACAGCUGAACACCAGAAGUAUUUUUUUCAUCUUUCUGGACAGGACAAUAACUUGUUUGUACAAAUUAUUAUCUGUCUGUGUGUAAAAUUUUUGAAAUGAACUUAUUUUGCAUAGGGAGUACUUUACUUUUGGUACUUGAUGUACAUUUUGCUGGCUUUUUUUUAAAAACUCAAAUAGAAUUUCAAAUGCAAGCCUUGAACUUGUAACAGAGUAUUUUUACACGGUGGCAUUGUUGCUUUUCCUUAAGUAAAGGAUCUGAGAACUUCUUCCACCUGUACUAGUUUCUACUUAAAUCUUCAUAUAAUUUAAAAAAUAUUAACAAUUAAUUUAAUAAAUAAUCUAUGCUACUUUUUUCCUAAAUAGAUUUAUUUUUCUUGUAACUUCAGCUUGGAUAUUUCUGCAUACAUUAACUAUUUAGGAGAGAUAUGAGGCAAGAUGUGGGGCAUGCUGAUAUCAUAAUAAAUCAGAAGUAACUUUCAGUCGCAGCCACUGAUGAUACACAGACGGACACUUUUAAUUUCAUCAUGUCUGACACUGUUUACGCACUGACAACCGCCCUUAAAACUCACGGAACGCGAAUUAAAGACAAUAAAUACUUGAUGCCUUUACAAUCACUGUGUAGACGUGGCAGAAAACAAGCUUAAAACGCUUAUAAAUAGAUGCAAAUCUAUAAUGAAGGGAAAUUGAAAAUUACACAUCACAGAAUUCCACCUCUGAACGAGGGAAUUAAAGUUUAGAAACAGAUUUACAAACAUCCCCAAAACUUGUUUCCAGUCUGUUAAACUGUGAUUAAAUCCACAUGCGGUCUUAGUUUAAAACAAGCUACAUUUUUGUUUUCAAAAAAAGUUGCAAAAGCUCACACAAGUCUACUUUUCGUCGCUGCUCUCCACAAAUAAAAACAACACUCAUGUGAGGUCAUCGUCUCCGAGGAAGUUUAUUGGAGGAAGGACAGUAAGACAUUUUUUCACAUGGUCGUCACUCUUGGCUACAGACUGAAGCGACGUUUUCUGUUGAGAUCCUUGUUUUGUUUGUUCUUUCAACAAGAGGACGUUUUUUGUCGAAUUUCAGCCGACUCAGUGACUACAGCUGAGGAAUCUGUAUGAUGGCUCGCCGCGUCAGACUGUUGUUCGAGAGAGGGCAUCCACCACCAGCAGCAGCAGUUCCACAUGAGACCACCUUCAGCUGCAUACUGGAUUGAUGCCUAUGCCUGGAGAGGAAUGGAUAAAACCCCCUCAAUUUAGAGAGGCGAGGAGAAACCCAUGCCCACAACCCCCUCCAUGUUCAUCCCGCUCAGUCUGACCUUUGCUCCUCACAAUGUGUAGUUGUCAUUCCUUGACACCAAAUGGAUCUGCUAGUUGCUGGUCAAUGACAACGCCCCCAACCAACCCCUUCUUUUAAGCACAAAAAAAGCCAAUCAGUCAUGCCUCUCUGCCCAUUUAAUAUGCAUGAUAGGACUGCAUGGCUUCAACCAUACUCCAUACGAAAAAUUUCCAAGAGGACAUAUUCGCAAAGAAGCAGACUGCACAAAAAAAUUAAGGAGCCCCAACAAGGACUGUUAGAGUGGACCUGGGAAUGUUGAACUGCCUUUAAGAGACUGUUUUCCCGCUCUAUAAAUGAAACGCGUGUUGAGUAUUAACAUUUUAAACCUCUGUGCUCUGUCUUGCUUCCUAACAGCAUUGAUGUGUAAUAUACCAGUUAAACAGCACAAUUAACUAAAUAUCAGAAAAGCACCAACCUGUAAAUGUAAAGUAUGAAACAGAAGGGAAUCAGUAUUUUAUAAGUGUGGUAUCUUUAGUGGUUUUAUGUUUGUACUUUAUUUGUGCUUUAUAUGCAAACUAGGCCUAUGUAUGUGAAUGAGUGCUAAGAGAUUAUGUUAAGUUAACCGGUACACCAAACAGCUGUUAGUAAUCUGCCUUUCAUUUGUUUUUGCAUGGAUCAAUCACAGUACUUUUGACAGCUUUGCAUCUUUUAAGAUAUUGAGCAAUCCAUUUUCUGUCUUUAUGCCUCACUGUUUAGUAUUGUUCAAAACAAGAUGGAAGACUACAUUUUUAAUGGGACCAUAAUUAAGUGCAACAGCGUAAUACUUUCAUCCUUAAUCGUAAGAUCUGCGGAGAGGGUCAACACAUCAGUAAUCUCAUUCCUUUUUCCUACUUCUACAGGAAAAAGAGGAAAAUAGCUGAAGUUGUACAGUGUGCUUGAAUGUUAUGUUCACUUGGAUAUUACUGGGGAUGUGAGGCUAAGGGAUUGAACUGUCCACAGGUGAACACAAUGAGUGUUUGAGGAUGUAUUGAUUGACAUCUCUUUACAACUCUUGUAUAUAGGAUACAAAUAUAAUCAUGUACUUUCAUUUUUUUAGUUUUAAAGCUGAACUCUGGAUGUUCCUUAGUUUCAACACCUUCUGAGGUUGUGUGACAAGUCGAUAACUCUGGACUGAACAUGAAGACUUGAUGUUUACUUUAGAGUGCUUGAUUUCACCCAAUGAAAGCUGUGCUCAUGUGUAUUACUGACUACUUUAUAUGAUAUAUAGAUAUGCAACACAAUUACGGAUAUGGAUUUGACUGACAUGUACAGUAUUUCACGUUUCAGUCAACAAGUUUGCCUUUGUUUUUGAAUACCAAUGCUGAACUUUUAAAGGUGAACAAACACAAUGGAUCAUCUGUGCCAUCAAAUCUAUGAGCCAAAUAGUCUGUGAAACAGUAAAAUAAUCAGACUGCGUGUAGUCAGACUCUUUAGCACAGCUCACAUUGCAUUACUUGUAUAAAGUUGUAAUGUUUUGUGGGCAAACCUAUACAGUAAGUGCUUUUGUAAAGUGGUACUUUCAUGGUGCAGUAUGUGGUAACUUGUGUAAUGUGAGCUUCCUGUAUGCUGUGGUUUGGUGUGUGCAAUCUAUUAAAUACAAAAAACAAAACAGAACAAUGAAA